GCCUCUGUGUCUCCACAGUGGCCAGAGGGGAGCCUGCCUGACUGAUGAGCAAGGCUCCACUUUGUCACCAAGGCAGAGAAGGGGCCCGGCUCCCUGAUCUGAUCGUGGACACUGCAGUCCCCAGAUGGCUUAUCCCGUUAAGCUAAGCCCUCGGCCAUCCCUCCAGCUUUAGGAAGAAAAGCGGUUCUGGCCCAAGCCAGACUGAGCUUCCUGGGGUCUUCUCUGGCCCAGCCUUUGACUGAAGCUGGUCUGGAGACAGGGGCGUUAGAGAAGUGACUCAUAGAUGGCCUAAAUAAGCGGGGCCACUCAAGGACCCAGGACAGGGGGAAGAGGGCCAACCCAUCUGGACCGCAGGCAAACCCCAUGGCCUUUGAGAGAAGAGAGAAGAGGACCCGGUGAAGUAGGCUCCGAGGGCCUCAGCCCAGCAGGAGCGCAGGGAGCUGCACCAGGAACUCACAGAGGAUCAGGGAGAAUUCUGAGAACAUGCUACUGUGGUGCUGCCUAGAGAGGAAGGAUAAAUGAUGACAAGUACAUCUCUGAGUAACGUAUGGGCACUUGUUCAUGAAAACUGUUUUUCUGAAAGCUUGUGAAGGUCUUGAAAUACUCGCUAUCAGUUGAGGACAAACAUUUACACCCUCCUUCCACAGGGAGUUCAAGCAGGCUGGAUGGGUCCAUCUAUGGAUGAUCUUCCCCAGCCCCUUCCUCUUCCCAGCUCAUCCCUGGCUCUCUGUGUGAACAGGUCUCAUCAGUGGAAUGUGGUUGAUGAAGUGAGGUCUUCAAUUUUCUCAUCUACUGUGUGGUCAUGUUAUUUUCCUCAUCUGAGGCUUAAAAACUCACCUGCAUGCAGCACAUGACAGCUUAAAAUCUCUUGUGAACAAAACAGUAACAAAGACACCCACCAGCGUUGAGCAUCCCGUGUUGAUGACAGCGACCACCAGGGGUCAACGUCCUCUUCACAAUCCUGUGUCAGAGCAUCACUUGACUGAUUUCAUUAGCAACUUCCCAGGAGAAUCAGCUUACAAAAUACUUGUCCCAUUUUCCAUGCAGAUGUAACCCAUCUAUUUUACUGAAGAAAUGGGAAGAGCUGAAUGCUGAAUACACUGAAUGUCUGCAGGUUGUGCAAGUUUGUGACUUUAUCACUUUCUAAUUUCUGAUCUGUGUGGACCACUCUACAGAUUUUUCUCACUGGUGUGAUCAGCCUUCUGGAUGUCAAAUAUAAUAGACUUUCAAUAAUAUAAAAGUCAACACAAGCUCCUCAUGGUUUCAGUGCUCAGUGAUGACUCUAAACUUACACAAUGUGUUUCUUUAUUAGUUUUGUUUUCUGGUAUCUCUACUCGGCAUCUUCACCACACCCAUUUUAUGUUUCUUAUACAGGCUUUCUUCUAUGAAAUGCUAUGUCAUGAAUAUGCAAAUAACCUGAGAUCCACUGAGGUAAAUUUGGAUGUCUGUGCCCUGAGAGCAUCACCCAACAACCACAUCCCUCCUCUAUAGAAGCCCCUGAGAACACAGCUCCUCACCAUGGACUGUACCUGGGGGAUCCACUUCUUGGUGGCAGCUGCCACAGGUGUCCAUUCCCAGGUUCAGCUGUUGCAGCCUGGGGCUGAGGUGAAGAAGCCUGGGUCCUCAGUGAAGGUCUCCUGCCAGGCUUCCAGAUACACCUUCACCAAAUACUUUACACGGUGGGUGUGACAAAGCCCUGGACAAGGGCAUAGUGGAUGGGAUGAAUCAACCCUUACAAUGAUAACACACACUAUGCACAGACGUUCUGGGGCAGAGUCACCAUUACCAGUGACAGGUCCAUGAGCACAGCCUACAUGGAGCUGAGCAACCUGAGAUCUGAAGACAUGGUCAUGUAUUACUGUGUGAGAGACACAGUGCAAAAACCCACAUCCUGAGAGUGUCAGAAACCCCAGGAAGGAGACACCUGUGCUGACACAGAGGAGAUGACAAAGAUUAUUAGAUUAAAGAUUUGCUUAGAAAAUGACAUUAAGUCAUUAAAGAAAAGGAACAAUAUUAAUGUGUAUUUGAGAAAUUUUAAUUAUUUGAGAGAUUUUUCAUACAACAUUUAUUCUGUAAACAAAUUUCAAUGAUUAGAGAAUUAAUCAAAUUAAUGAAACUAAUAUAGAACUUCCUCUGAAGGUAUCUCUGUAAACAUUAAUUUCUUAAUCAGUGCUGUAAGUAUUUUGGAAUACAGACACAAAAUCACAUUUUAAGUCUGCAUUUAUAUCUAUUAAAAAUGCCAAAAAAAUCUCCUUUUGUGCGUGUAGCAUUUUGAAUUCCCACCAUCAAUGCAUGAUAGUUCUUGGUUUUCCACAUUCAUAUUGCCAUGUAUCCUUAUGAGAGUUGUGUGUUUUAACCAAUCUAGUAGGUGAGUAAUGGGAUCUAAUUUUUAUUUAAAUGCACAUGUCCCUCAAAAAGUUCAUAUUUAACAAUUUUCCAAUAACUUUUGUUGAGAUGCCU
RNAcentral lists this long non-coding RNA (2460 nucleotides) under Homo sapiens (human). Its description in RNAcentral is "HSALNT0385468". Lineage: Eukaryota; Metazoa; Chordata; Mammalia; Primates; Hominidae. The record is from RNAcentral.